GAUAAUGUAGUUUAAGUUUAAAAUUCCUAUCUUACACGUAGGAGAUGGGUGUUAGUGUCCUGUUAUCA
Molecule: transfer RNA, 68 nt
Filed under: Hypoderaeum conoideum
Lineage: Eukaryota; Metazoa; Platyhelminthes; Trematoda; Plagiorchiida; Echinostomatidae
Also listed under: 1 other name
Description: tRNA-Val
Rfam family: tRNA
About the family: Transfer RNA (tRNA) molecules are approximately 80 nucleotides in length. Their secondary structure includes four short double-helical elements and three loops (D, anti-codon, and T loops). Further hydrogen bonds mediate the characteristic L-shaped molecular structure. tRNAs have two regions of fundamental functional importance: the anti-codon, which is responsible for specific mRNA codon recognition, and the 3' end, to which the tRNAs corresponding amino acid is attached (by aminoacyl-tRNA synthetases). tRNAs cope with the degeneracy of the genetic code in two manners: having more than one tRNA (with a specific anti-codon) for a particular amino acid; and 'wobble' base-pairing, i.e. permitting non-standard base-pairing at the 3rd anti-codon position.
Source: RNAcentral